UUUUAUGGAGAGUUUGAUCCUGGCUCAGAGUGAACGCUGGCGGCGUGCCUAAUACAUGCAAGUCGAACGGAGUAUUAAGAGAGCUUGCUCUUUUAAUACUUAGUGGCGCACGGGUGAGUAAUGUAUAGUUAAUCUGCCCUACACUGGAGGACAACAGUUAGAAAUGACUGCUAAUACUCCAUACUCCUUCUUAACAUAAGUUAAGUCGGGAAAGUUUUUCGGUGUAGGAUGAGACUAUAUUGUAUCAGCUAGUUGGUAAGGUAAUGGCUUACCAAGGCUUUGACGCAUAACUGGUCUGAGAGGAUGAUCAGUCACACUGGAACUGAGACACGGUCCAGACUCCUACGGGAGGCAGCAGUAGGGAAUAUUGCUCAAUGGGGGAAACCCUGAAGCAGCAACGCCGCG
This 405-nucleotide ribosomal RNA is filed under the name Campylobacter fetus subsp. testudinum. Its description in RNAcentral is "bacterial SSU rRNA". It matches the Rfam family "Bacterial small subunit ribosomal RNA", at positions 1 to 401 of the family's 1533-position model. The record is from RNAcentral. Lineage: Bacteria; Pseudomonadati; Campylobacterota; Epsilonproteobacteria; Campylobacterales; Campylobacteraceae.